Prochlorococcus marinus str. NATL2A is the source of this 1485-nucleotide ribosomal RNA. It matches the Rfam family "Bacterial small subunit ribosomal RNA". Lineage: Bacteria; Bacillati; Cyanobacteriota; Cyanophyceae; Synechococcales; Prochlorococcaceae. The record is from Rfam.
ACAACGGAGAGUUUGAUCCUGGCUCAGGAUGAACGCUGGCGGCGUGCUUAACACAUGCAAGUCGAACGAACCUUCGGGUUAGUGGCGGACGGGUGAGUAACGCGUGGGAAUCUGCCCUCAGGAGGGGGAUAACGGUUGGAAACGACCGCUAAUACCCCAUAUGCCGAGAGGUGAAAUGAAUUUCGCCUGAGGAUGAGCCCGCGUCUGAUUAGCUUGUUGGUGAGGUAAUGGCUCACCAAGGCAUCGAUCAGUAGCUGGUCUGAGAGGAUGAUCAGCCACACUGGGACUGAGACACGGCCCAGACUCCUACGGGAGGCAGCAGUGGGGAAUUUUCCGCAAUGGGCGAAAGCCUGACGGAGCAACGCCGCGUGAGGGACGAAGGCCUCUGGGCUGUAAACCUCUUUUCUCAAGGAAGAAGAUAUGACGGUACUUGAGGAAUAAGCCACGGCUAAUUCCGUGCCAGCAGCCGCGGUAAUACGGGAGUGGCAAGCUUUAUCCGGAAUUAUUGGGCGUAAAGCGUCCGCAGGCGGCCUUCCAAGUCUGCUGUUAAAGCGUGGAGCUUAACUCCAUCAUGGCAGUGGAAACUGAUUGGCUUGAGUAUGGUAGGGGCAGAGGGAAUUCCCGGUGUAGCGGUGAAAUGCGUAGAUAUCGGGAAGAACACCAGUGGCGAAGGCGCUCUGCUGGGCCAUUACUGACGCUCAUGGACGAAAGCCAGGGGAGCGAAAGGGAUUAGAUACCCCUGUAGUCCUGGCCGUAAACGAUGAACACUAGGUGUCGGGGGAAUCGACCCCUUCGGUGUCGUAGCUAACGCGUUAAGUGUUCCGCCUGGGGAGUACGCACGCAAGUGUGAAACUCAAAGGAAUUGACGGGGGCCCGCACAAGCGGUGGAGUAUGUGGUUUAAUUCGAUGCAACGCGAAGAACCUUACCAGGGCUUGACAUCCUGCGAACCUUUAAGAAAUUAGAGGGUGCCUUCGGGAACGCAGUGACAGGUGGUGCAUGGCUGUCGUCAGCUCGUGUCGUGAGAUGUUGGGUUAAGUCCCGCAACGAGCGCAACCCACGUUUUUAGUUGCCAGCAUUCAGUUGGGCACUCUAGAAAGACCGCCGGUGAUAAACCGGAGGAAGGUGUGGAUGACGUCAAGUCAUCAUGCCCCUUACGUCCUGGGCUACACACGUACUACAAUGCUACGGACAAAGGGCAGCAAACUCGCGAGAGCUAGCAAAUCCCAUAAACCGUGGCUCAGUUCAGAUCGUAGGCUGCAACUCGCCUACGUGAAGUAGGAAUCGCUAGUAAUCGCAGGUCAGCAUACUGCGGUGAAUACGUUCCCGGGCCUUGUACACACCGCCCGUCACACCAUGGAAGUUGGCCACGCCCGAAGUCGUUACUUUAACCCUUGUGGAGAAGGACGCCGAAGGUGGGGCUGAUGACUGGGGUGAAGUCGUAACAAGGUAGCCGUACCGGAAGGUGCGGCUGGAUCACCUCCUAA